RNAcentral lists this long non-coding RNA (1302 nucleotides) under Struthio camelus australis. RNAcentral's name for it is "lncRNA (ENSSCUG00000000510.1)". The record is from RNAcentral. Lineage: Eukaryota; Metazoa; Chordata; Aves; Struthioniformes; Struthionidae.
AUGUGGUUCCAGUGCUAUUGUAUAUUACUGCUGCACGCUAUCAGCUUUGCUCUAUACCUUAACUCCCCCCCGAAUUUAUGGGUAACGUGGGCCACUAAGACACAUACCACUUCCUUCUGCCUGGCCUUGGCCUCCGCCACUGAUCCCUUCCGGACAUGCUUAGUCGGGUUACCCGGAUAUAAUGCAUCCGACUUCACGAAAUUGUCCACCGCCACUUGUGGAGGACAGUCUGAUAACAGUAAAUGUACAGCCAAAUUAUUAGCUGCAUUAAACAAAACAUUACCUUGGGAUCCUCAAGAAAUCAGGCUUUUAGGUAGCAGAAUGCUAAAUAGCUCAGCAAAUGAGUCAGGAUGUGUUGAGCUAGGUGAUUACAGACAAAACGUAAAUGAUCCCACAUUUUGGCUUACACCCAGGAGUUACCCCUUCUGGAACAAAACGUAUAUGUGUGGUGCUUAUAGGACCUAUGGUUGGGGAAGAAACGACAUAAAGAUUUGGGUUAAUGACAGCGCGAAGGCAUUGCCUAGCAAUACCUAUUUGAUUUGCGGUGAUCGAGCCUGGCAAGGAAUACCUAGGUAUGCUCACGGUGGUCCAUGUUAUCUGGGAAAAUUGACUCUUUUUAUACCAAAUGUUACUGUAAUGUCACAAUUCCUUUUAAAUAAGACACGCCGCGAUAAGCGAGCUAUAGCAACCCUCACACCUGAUUGUAACGAUCAAGUAGAACUCUGGGAACCCACAGCUAAUCUUUUUGCGUCUAUUGUUCCCGGAGCGGGUGCCGCUCACGCGCUUCAAACUAUAAGUAAGCUUGCUUGCUGGAUGGUAAAACAAUCCAAUGUAACGACUCAAAUACUUAGUGAACUAACACAGGAUAUGGAAAAUCUGCGACAUCAGAUCCUUCAGAAUAGGGCUGCCAUUGAUUUUUUGCUAUUAGCCCACGGGCAUAAUUGUAAGGAUUUCGAAAGUAUGUGCUGCUUUAAUCUUUCCUCCAAUUCAGAAUCAAUUCACAAACAACUGCAAUGGCUUAAGGAUCAUACCAAAGACAUUAAAGUCUCCACUAACCCACUCGAUAUUUGGCUAUCAUCCUUUGGCAUUGGUCCGUGGUUUAAAACCAUAAUCAUGUAUGGCAUAAACAUAGGACUUAUGCUGCUGCUACUCCUGUCGAUAUUACCUUGUGUAUUCGCUUGCCUCCAAAAAAUGCUUAUUCGAUUGCUGAAUAAAAUGCAGAUUAACUAUGUCCUACUAAGAGAAGAAGGGGGAAAUGUGGGAAGUCUCACUGCAAGAUGGCUACAUGCCAGAGGGCAAUAA